GUGGUAAUACCGGAUGCUCCGCUCCAUCGCAUGGUGGGGUGGGAAAUGCUUUUGCGGCAUGGGAUGGGGUCGCGUCCUAUCAGCUUGUUGGCGGGGUGAUGGCCCACCAAGGCGUUGACGGGUAGCCGGCCUGAGAGGGUGACCGGCCACAUUGGGACUGAGAUACGGCCCAGACUCCUACGGGAGGCAGCAGUGGGGAAUAUUGCACAAUGGGCGCAAGCCUGAUGCAGCGACGCCGCGUGCGGGAUGGAGGCCUUCGGGUUGUAAACCGCUUUUGUUCAAGGGCAAGGCACGGUUUCGGCCGUGUUGAGUGGAUUGUUCGAAUAAGCACCGGCUAACUACGUGCCAGCAGCCGCGGUAAUACGUAGGGUGCGAGCGUUAUCCGGAUUUAUUGGGCGUAAAGGGCUCGUAGGCGGUUCGUCGCGUCCGGUGUGAAAGUCCAUCGCCUAACGGUGGAUCUGCGCCGGGUACGGGCGGGCUGGAGUGCGGUAGGGGAGACUGGAAUUCCCGGUGUAACGGUGGAAUGUGUAGAUAUCG
This 537-nucleotide ribosomal RNA is filed under the name Bifidobacterium animalis subsp. lactis. RNAcentral's name for it is "bacterial SSU rRNA". It matches the Rfam family "Bacterial small subunit ribosomal RNA", at positions 160 to 699 of the family's 1533-position model. Lineage: Bacteria; Bacillati; Actinomycetota; Actinomycetes; Bifidobacteriales; Bifidobacteriaceae. The record is from RNAcentral.